UCUAGCAUUACUANUAUUAGAGGCACUGCUGCCCAGUGACAUAUGUUUAACGGCCGCGGUACCCUGACCGUGCAAAGGUAGCAUAAUCACUUGUUCUUUAAAUAGGGACUUGUAUGAAUGGCAACACGAGGGUUCAACUGUCUCUUACUUUAACCAGUGAAAUUGACCUGCCCGUGAAGAGGCGGGNAUAAAACAAUAAGACGAGAAGACCCUAUGGAGCUUUAAUUUACUAAUGCAACCAUAAUCAACACAAAUCCAAGGACCUAAUAUAUCUUGCCCCUGCAUUAGAAAUUUUGGUUGGGGUGACCUCGGAGCAUAAAUAAACCUCCGAACAAACUAUGCUAAGACUAUACAAGUCAAAGCGACCUAAUACCCAUAAUUGAUCCAAUAACUUGACCAACGGAACAAGUUACCCUAGGGAUAACAGCGCAAUCCUAUUCCAGAGUCCAUAUCGACAAUAGGGUUUACGACCUCGAUGUUGGAUCAGGACAUCCUAAUGGUGCAGCAGCUAUCAAGGGUUCGUUUGUUC
RNAcentral lists this ribosomal RNA (529 nucleotides) under Nasalis larvatus (proboscis monkey). Its description in RNAcentral is "partial 16S ribosomal RNA". It matches the Rfam family "Bacterial large subunit ribosomal RNA", at positions 1829 to 2582 of the family's 2925-position model. Lineage: Eukaryota; Metazoa; Chordata; Mammalia; Primates; Cercopithecidae. The record is from RNAcentral.